CAAUAGCGUAUAUUUAAGUUGUUGCAGUUAAAAAGCUCGUAGUUGGAUUUCGGUUAAGAGCGACCGGUCCGCCGUUUGGUGUGCACUGGUUGGUUUUAACUUCCUGUAGAGGACGUGCUCUGGGUUUAACGACCUGGACUCGGAGUCUACGUGGUUACUUUGAAAAAAUUAGAGUGUUCAAAGCGGGCUUACGCUUGAAUAUUUCAGCAUGGAAUAACACUAUAGGACGCCUGUCCUAUUUCGUUGGUCUCGGGACGGGAGUAAUGAUUAAGAGGAACAGUUGGGGGCAUUCGUAUUUCAUUGUCAGAGGUGAAAUUCUUGGAUUUAUGAAAGACGAACUUCUGCGAAAGCAUUUGCCAAGGAUGUUUUCAUUAA
This 375-nucleotide ribosomal RNA is filed under the name uncultured eukaryote. Its description in RNAcentral is "partial 18S ribosomal RNA". It matches the Rfam family "Eukaryotic small subunit ribosomal RNA", at positions 592 to 976 of the family's 1831-position model. The record is from RNAcentral.